GGUGGCUCAGUGGUAGAGUGCUUGCCUUGCAUGCAGGAAGCCCUGGGUUCGAUUCCUCAGCACCA
RNAcentral lists this transfer RNA (65 nucleotides) under Dipodomys ordii (Ord's kangaroo rat). It matches the Rfam family "tRNA". From Rfam's summary of the family: Transfer RNA (tRNA) molecules are approximately 80 nucleotides in length. Their secondary structure includes four short double-helical elements and three loops (D, anti-codon, and T loops). Further hydrogen bonds mediate the characteristic L-shaped molecular structure. tRNAs have two regions of fundamental functional importance: the anti-codon, which is responsible for specific mRNA codon recognition, and the 3' end, to which the tRNAs corresponding amino acid is attached (by aminoacyl-tRNA synthetases). tRNAs cope with the degeneracy of the genetic code in two manners: having more than one tRNA (with a specific anti-codon) for a particular amino acid; and 'wobble' base-pairing, i.e. permitting non-standard base-pairing at the 3rd anti-codon position. The record is from Rfam by way of RNAcentral. Lineage: Eukaryota; Metazoa; Chordata; Mammalia; Rodentia; Heteromyidae.